RNAcentral lists this unclassified non-coding RNA (3430 nucleotides) under Nilaparvata lugens (brown planthopper). RNAcentral describes it as "apoptotic chromatin condensation inducer in the nucleus, transcript variant X4". The record is from RNAcentral. Lineage: Eukaryota; Metazoa; Arthropoda; Insecta; Hemiptera; Delphacidae.
AUCUUUCUUAUUUGUUUGGUUGGUAGUGUUGUGUUAAUAUGGCUGAUAUCUUGUAGUGGAUUUGGGUUUUUUGGGUUUCUAAUAUUUCUAUUUUGCCAGUAAUUUUUAGACCACAUUUCUUAUUUCUAGUUGAAAAUUUAUUUCUCUCUUUGUAUAUGUCUUAGUGAAAACAACGUUUUCUGCAAUAAGUUUGAAUUGAAAGGAAAAUGAGACGGAAAAACAAGCGGCAUGAUACUAAGGCAGCGUCGCCUGAAAAAUCGCCCGAGAAGGCAUCUCGCCGGUCUAGCCGACACUCGAGACGGAGAAGGAACGCGUCAUCCUCGCCGGAAAGGGAGGAAGAUGACAAGGCAGCAGCAGCAGCGGCUACAGCAACGGCAACUGUAGUCAAGGAGUUGAAGCAGACUCGCAGCUCUUCCCCCUCCCCCGUCCUAGUGACUGAGGUAAUAGGCAACAAUGUCUUCUCACUGGCCAACAUUGAAGAACCUAGCUCUAGUAAGAAGCACAGUUCAGCUGUGCUCAACGAAGAAGACAAAUCGGUGGUCAAAUCUGCUGAUAAUGCAGAAAAAGAAAACACUGAAAAGCCCGCUGAAGCAACAACUGAGAAUAAAGAGAAGGGUGACGGUGCUGGUGCUGUUUGGAAAGUGCAGAGUGCAAAUGGUGCUGGAGGUGAAAUACAGAAAUUGAAAAUCUGUCGCUCUUUCUUGUCCAAAGAAAUUUCUUCGCCAAAGAGGAGGGGCAGAUCUCACAGAGACUCGAGUCAGAAAGGCACCGAAGAAAGCAGCGACUGCGACGACCAUUCCCAAUCUGAAGGCAGCGAAUCGAAGAGCAGACACCGAACGAGGACUCGCACAGUGUCGCAGAGCAGUCCGACUCUGCAGGACUCGCCCAAAGUGGUGUGCGACGUGUCCGACGAGAAGCCCACUAAAAUUAAGAUCCACAUCGGCAGCAAGAGUCCCGUCGCCACGCCGCCUGACGUCACUGUAGCCAUGGUCGAGCAAGUUGUCGAGGAAGAGGUCAUUGUUGACUCCCAGCAAGUCGAAGAGGUCGCUACAGAAACUGUGCAGGAGGUGGCUCAGGUGCCGAACGAUACUGAACAGGAGGCUCAACAAACCUCUGAUGAUACAACACUGAAAGCCAGCACUGAGGUUGUCGUCGACGUCCAAAGCAUUCAGAACAUUGAAUUGCCGGCUGAAGCGGCGCCAGUAGAGAAGCCCAACUCACAUACUUCCAGUCCUAGGGCUGAGAAAAAACAAGCGACUGUUAACGAAGACCGCACAACAGAAGAUUCUGACUCCGGGACGAAUAGUGAUGAUGAUCACACUGAUGAUGAAACCAAUGUGAAGAAAAAGAAGAAGAAGAGGAGGAAGAAGGGGAUGAUGUCGUCAGUAUCCAGGCAGAAACCCAUCCCUGAAUCGGAUCAACCCCAAAGGAGGGAAAGCAGCAAAGAAGAGCCUGGAGAGGAAAGGAUAGCCCAGGAAGAGGAAGGAGCAAGGACCACCGCGGAGGAGCAGCACCGGGACCAUGAGGAAUCGGCCAAGGAAACUUCUUCCGUCACUGUGGAUAAGGAAAAUGUUGCCGAAUCUUCAAGAACAUCACCUGCCCCUGCAGAGCCAGUUGCCAAGAAACGACGAUGGGGAGCCAGCAAAUCAAUCAGGCCUGCCAAAAAACCAGUUCUCUGUAUAUCUACUGACUCGUUAAAGAAUCUUAUUCCUGAAGCGAAACCAGUGUCCAUUGAAGAGGUUCGAUUAUCAGUUGAGGAGGAAAAUGAACAUAUUGAAGACAUGGAGGAAGAUCAGUCUGAAGUAAAGAAGGAAUCUCCCAAAGAAGUAAAGAAAAAAGAUCGAAAGAAAGAGAAGGAACGUCUAAAAGAGAAAGAGGAAGAGGAGCUGGAUGAGAAGCCCGACCGUGAUGAGAAACCAGAAAGGCCUUCAACUGAUGGAAUGAAAGUGAAUAGAAGGAUCUGUGUGUUGAGCGAAGAUGACCGGAAGCUGGCGAGGUCGCCGUCGCCGCCCCGCCACCGGCCAUCCGACGUGCUCUUCAUCACCAACCUGGUCCGGCCAUUCACCAUUCCGCAGCUCAAGAACCUGCUCGCAAGAACCGGCAAGAUCGCCGAAAAUGGCUUCUGGAUUGAUAAAAUCAAAUCCAAGUGCUAUGUGCAAUAUUCAGACGUGGAGGAGGCGAUUGAGACGCGACAUGCGCUGCACGGCGUGCGCUGGCCGGUGAGCAAUCCGCGCACUCUGUGCGUAGAGUUUGCGAACCACGACGACAUGGUGGUGGCGCAGGCGGCCGCUGAGCAGGAGGCGAUUCCGCGCAAAACGGAGCCUCUUUUCCACUCUGGCGGCGACCACUCGGUCGAGGGAUGGAUCGCCGAUCAGGCCAGGCUCAAUUCGGACAGGCCGCAACGAAGGGUGAGGGAAUGGGAUGUUGGGAAGCCAGCACACCCGGACGAAGCCCUCGAUCAACUGCACACCCCCAGGCCUGAUUUCGAGGAUCCACGAGAUCGAGAACGCAGGGUUAAGAAAGAAAAAGGUCGUCGAAGUAGAACACCCGAUGCUCAUCAACCAAUAGCGAGAAAACAGAGAAGAAAAGAUGAAGAUGCUCCAGCUAAGCUAUUGGAUGAUCUUUUCAGGAAAACCAAAGUCCAUCCUUGUAUUUAUUGGCUGCCGUUAACUGCCGAACAGAUUGUUGUAAAGGAAGAGAUGCGACGCCAACAUAUGGCUGAGCAUGAGAGACGCAUCGCUGAGAUGAAAAAAGCAGAACAAUCUCGACGUGACAGAGAUAGAAGAGACAGAUCGAGGAAGUAGCGGUUGACAGCUUGAUGAUAGAUUAGAAGCUGCAGUGUUGUUGCAGAAGAGAGACAGGAACCAGUCAGGUGGAACUCAGAUAGCUCUGUCUCCUCGGAGUCAGAAUGGGUAGAGCGGUCAGAUCAGUACUGUCUCCUCGGCAGCUGAACUGACGUAGGAAUUGUUAGAAGAUUCCUGCUGAAUCUUGGGCUAAAUGAGUGUUACAUCUUGGACCAUUGAAAUGGGAGCAGACAUUUGGAAUUCUUCAUUCAAGUAUUGUGUAUGUGUGACAACGCCGUCUGAUAUGUUUGAUGACAUCGAUUUCUGAAAAAACUGUUACAAUUGAUUUAAAUUGUAGAGCAACUCAGUGAAAUCAUCAGUAAGGACAUGAACGUGACAAGUUUCAAUGUUUGAAACGAACUCAUGAAAUGGAUUUGGAAAUCCAGUACCUUCAGUAUCGAUAAAAAUCUCAAAAUGAGUUUGUCUUGAAUAACAUUGUGAUAUCUGUAAGAAAGAACUUGCCAAUUUCCAUUCGCCGGUCACAUAAAAGUGAUUGAAUUUUUAAAAAAUAUACCUACAUUGUUUAUUGAAGAAACUUGCAAUUUAUAAUUUAAUAAAAAAUCAAAGUUGGCUUAUUUGGCUUAAAA